GGUUCCAUAGUGUAGGCUAGCACGUCUGCUUUACACGCAGAAGGCCCUGGGUUCAUACCCCAAUGGAGCCA
RNAcentral lists this transfer RNA (71 nucleotides) under Pteropus alecto (black flying fox). It matches the Rfam family "tRNA". From Rfam's summary of the family: Transfer RNA (tRNA) molecules are approximately 80 nucleotides in length. Their secondary structure includes four short double-helical elements and three loops (D, anti-codon, and T loops). Further hydrogen bonds mediate the characteristic L-shaped molecular structure. tRNAs have two regions of fundamental functional importance: the anti-codon, which is responsible for specific mRNA codon recognition, and the 3' end, to which the tRNAs corresponding amino acid is attached (by aminoacyl-tRNA synthetases). tRNAs cope with the degeneracy of the genetic code in two manners: having more than one tRNA (with a specific anti-codon) for a particular amino acid; and 'wobble' base-pairing, i.e. permitting non-standard base-pairing at the 3rd anti-codon position. Lineage: Eukaryota; Metazoa; Chordata; Mammalia; Chiroptera; Pteropodidae. The record is from Rfam by way of RNAcentral.